UACGUAGGGUGCAGGCGUUAAUCGGAAUUACUGGGCGUAAAGCGUGCGCAGGCGGUUUCUUAAGUCAGAUGUGUAAGCCCCGGGCUUAACCUGGGAACUGCGUUUGAAACUGGGAGACUUGAGUGUGGCAGAGGGGGGUGGAAUUCCACGUGUAGCAGUGAAAUGCGUAGAUAUGUGGAGGAACACCGAUGGCGAAGGCAGCCCCCUGGGUUAACACUGACGCUCAUGCACGAAAGCGUGGGGAGCAAACAGG
Molecule: ribosomal RNA, 253 nt
Filed under: uncultured bacterium
Lineage: Bacteria
Description: partial 16S ribosomal RNA
Rfam family: Bacterial small subunit ribosomal RNA
Source: RNAcentral